CGGGAGGACGGCGUCUCCAGGAGCCCCACUGACCGGCCGGCAAGGACUGCCAACACGAGUGACCGAGGGCCUGUCUAGUCUCCUUUACCCAGAAGAUGAGUAAAAGCUCCACCAUGAAGAACCCCAGAAGGGUGUCCUAUGAUGCUAAUGUGCUGAAGACGUUUUGGGAGAAAAAAAUCGAGCUUCACACGAAACAACUGCAGGAUGAGGACCGGAGGGUCCGCAGGAGUGCCCUGGACAGGUGAGCCUGGUGUGGGCAACCAGCGGAGGGGCACCUGGCCAGGGCCCACAGACCCCCCACCGGCUUCCUCCCCCGGGACCAGGGUCUUGGGAGGAGUGGGUAAAAGCACAGAACACCAACCACUUAAUCUCAGCUUCUGAACUGAAUCGUUGACUCACUGGUGAGAGAGGAACACCCCAUUCCUCUGCUCCUCACUCCUUCACCCACCCCAACUUCACCCACACCUCCUUCACCCCAUCCCUCCAUCAUCGCACCCGCCAUUGCCCCAUGCCUCCAUCACCCAUCCCUCUAUCUCUCCAUCACCCAUCCCUCCAUCACCCAUCCCUUCAUCACCCAUCCCUCCAUCUCUCUAUCACCCAUCCCUCCAUCAUCCAUCCCUCCAUCACCCAUUCCUCCAUCAUCCCAUCCCUCUGUCUCUCCAUUACCUAUCCCUCCAUCACCCAUCCCUUCAUCAUCCAUCCCUCUAUCACCCAUGCCUCCAUUACCCCAUCCCUCCAUCCCUCCAUCACCCAUCCCUCCAUCACCCCAUCCCUCCAUCCCUCCAUCACCCCAUCUCUCUAUCACCCAUCCCUUCAUCUCUGCUCCUCUGAGGGCUUUAUGGGAAGUUGUUGCCCAGGGCUUGUCUGGCUCAGCCUGGUUUUCUGACAUUCUCCCCCGCUGAAUGCAGGAUAAAUCCAUGUGUCCAUCCUGCUCCUUCCCUCACAUUUGCUUUCUUGCAGCUUCAAAGUUGAUGUCCUUUCCUUAACUGGGUGGAUGCCAGGGGCCUCUGGGAGCUGAGGGGGGUCUCCUGGGUGACUCUGAGCAGACCCAGGAGUCACAGCUCACGGGCAGCUAAGAGGGCAUAUUAGCACAUAAUUUGCACCUAGACAAGGACUCAAACGGCCAGAAACAUCCAAAGUGGUCACAGCCUUGGUCCCCAAAUAGCACCAGCAGCUGCUUGCCCUGGGAUCUGGCUUAGGAAGGAUUCUUGGCGGCUGAGGUGGGACCAGGCUUGGUACUGACCUUGCAAGUAGCCAGAGGUCUGGUUGUUGCACUGCCCCCACCCUGCUCAUCAUCCCGGACUCCUGCCUGUUCGGCACAAGUACAGGCCCUGGUGCCUCCUCUGCACAGCCCCGCAGAGCCAGACGCUGCACCCCAGGACCUCUCGGGGUAGGGGUACAGCACAGACUCUUCCAGGAAUGACUCCUCCCAGCCCUGGGCCCUCCUAGGUCUCUGUGGCCCCAUACCUGCCCUGCGUGGCCAAGGGGCCCUGGAAACUUCUCAGUCUUGGCCCAUGGGUGCAGGUCCCAGGAGUGGGCAUCAUCAGGUCAAUGAGAAUGCGGUCAACACUGGCCAGGUUAGGCGUAAGUUCUGAGCUGCUGGGGCACAGACUGGGGGUGACAUCCUCACUUCUCUGGGGAGAGGGAGCUGGCUGUGGCGCCUUGGAUCUACCUGCCCACUGGGCAGCGGCUCCUGAUCGCAUCCCCACAGCCAUCCACUGCCUGGGAAAGGGGCAGGAGAGGGCCGGUGCCCUGGAGUUGGGCUGCCCAGCCUCCCUACCCACUGAUGGGAGGUCCCCUCCAUCCAGGCCCCUAGCACAGGGACCCCACCCUCCCCCCUCCAAACCACCCACACAUUCAGCCAGGCCCACGGUGGCUUCCGGUUCUGAGGGAGCCUGUGCCCCUAGGCCAGGCCAUUCCUGCCUUGGUCACUGCAUGAGUCAAGCUGUGGUCAUCACAAGAUGCCACCUUCCGAGGAAGGGAGCACCCAGUGUGAGUGUUGGCCGCUCGGCGAGGCCAGCCCACACCGGCCGUGUCCAGACCUGAGGAGCACAGGUUCCUGCUGGGACUAGGCAUGCCCUGGGUCCUGCUUUCCAUCUCUGGGAAGAGCCUGAGCCAGACCCUCCUUGGCGAGUGGGGCUUGAAGCAUGAGCACCAGGUCACAGGGCCCUUGGGGACCCCACAUGUCCGGCAGGCAGCCUGAGGAGGGGGAAGCUGAGUUGCCCGCAGACAGGCAGCUGUCCCCCACCCUCACUGUUGCCUGGUCCAGGCUCCGCGGUGAGUGGGCUCGGAAGCUGGAAAGAAGGAACCAGAUGCUGCAGAGCAGCUGGGAGGCAGCCCCGCGGCCCCCCCUGCCCGGCACCCCCGGCCGCCACACCCAGGACCAGCUGGCAGCCUGAGGCCAGGACCUGCCUCCUCUGACGGCCCCGCAGUGGUCCUCCCAGCAGCCGGACCCCUUCACAGUUUUGUGUCUCUAGCAUGAUGCGAACACCCAAUAAAAUCCAAGAAAAG
RNAcentral lists this long non-coding RNA (2511 nucleotides) under Sus scrofa (pig). RNAcentral's name for it is "lncRNA (ENSSSCG00055025888.1)". The record is from RNAcentral. Lineage: Eukaryota; Metazoa; Chordata; Mammalia; Artiodactyla; Suidae.